Molecule: long non-coding RNA, 930 nt
Filed under: Monodelphis domestica (gray short-tailed opossum)
Lineage: Eukaryota; Metazoa; Chordata; Mammalia; Didelphimorphia; Didelphidae
Description: lncRNA (ENSMODG00000047228.1)
Source: RNAcentral
CACUUAACCCCAACUGCCUAGUCCUUACUGCUCUUCUGUCUUAGAACCAAUACUUACUAUAGAUUCUAAGAGUUCAGGUAAGGAGUUAAUGAGAAGGAGAGGAAGAGAGAGAGAGAUGGGGGGGAGGAAGGGAGAGAGAGAGAGAGAGAGGCAGAGGGAGAGAGAAAGAGAAAGAGAAAAAGAAACAGAGAAAGAGUGAGAGAGAGAAAGAGAGAGAGAAAGGGAGGGUAAAAGGGAAAGGGAGAGGGAGAGAGAGAGAGAGAGAGAGAGAGAGAGAGGCAGAGGGAGAGAGAGAAACAGAGAAAGAGUGAGAGAGAGAAAGAGAGAGAGAGAGAGAAAGGGAGGGUAAAAGGGAAAGGGAGAGGGAGAGAGAAAAAGAGAGGGGAAAAGUGGGGGAGAGAAAGAGGGAGAAAGGUAGAAGGGGGGAGAGAAAGAGGGAGAGAAUGAGAGGGGAGCAGAAUAAAAGAUAUCACCAAAGAAAUGUAUAAGUAAAAAAAAAAUUGGUUGAGUAUGUGAGUGAAGUGAGGGAUCACUGUGUACUUCUCUUCAAGUCAAGAGACAUGCAGAACGGCCCCCACAGGUGGACCUCUUGGGGUGAACUUCUGGGAUGAUUUUGGCAAAAAUGGGACAGGAUAAGCAGGAUAUUCCAUCUUUUUUUGUCUCCAUGCCUUUGCUUUGGAAAUCCCCUGCCAUGACUGGGAUGCUCCUUCUUCACCUCCUUCUCUGGCCAGCCAAUUUAGAAUUGGUAACUAUCCUAUCUACCCAUAAUUGCUUCCUGUUUUUUUUUUUUCUGUUUUCACCCUUGAAACCAGCAUAGAAAAUCUCAUCCUGUUCCCCCAAUGACAACUUCAUGAAUUAGUGACUGACCAAAUGGAUCCAAAUGACAGCCCCUGGGAGCAUAGAUUACACCCUCCACAUCCCCUUUGUGAG